This 460-nucleotide ribosomal RNA is filed under the name uncultured bacterium. RNAcentral describes it as "partial 16S ribosomal RNA". It matches the Rfam family "Bacterial small subunit ribosomal RNA", at positions 338 to 795 of the family's 1533-position model. The record is from RNAcentral.
CCUACGGGUGGCUGCAGUGAGGAAUAUUGGUCAAUGGGCGGAAGCCUGAACCAGCCAAGUAGCGUGCAGGAUGACGGCCCUACGGGUUGUAAACUGCUUUUAUCCGGGAAUAACGCGCCUUACGUGUAGGGCUUUGCAUGUACCGUAUGAAUAAGGCCCGGCUAAUUCCGUGCCAGCAGCCGCGGUAAUACGGCAGGUCCGGGCGUUAUCCGGAUUUAUUGGGGUUAAAGGGAGCGUAGGCCGGAUGUCAAGCGUGCUGUGAAAUGUCCGGGCGCAACCCGGGCCUUGCAGCGCGAACUGGCGUGCUUGAGUCGGCGGAAAGUAGGCGGAAGUCGUGGUGUAGCGGUGAAAUGCUUAGAUAUGACGAAGAACCCCGAUUGCGAAGGCAGCUUGCUGGAGCGGAACUGACGCUGAUGCUCGAAAGCGCGGGUAUCGAACAGGAUUAGAUACCCGGGUAGUC